This 253-nucleotide ribosomal RNA is filed under the name uncultured bacterium. Its description in RNAcentral is "partial 16S ribosomal RNA". It matches the Rfam family "Bacterial small subunit ribosomal RNA", at positions 524 to 776 of the family's 1533-position model. The record is from RNAcentral.
UACGGGGGGGGCAAGCGUUGUUCGGAAUUACUGGGCGUAAAGGGCUCGUAGGCGGCCAACUAAGUCAUACGUGAAAUCCCUCGGCUUAACCGGGGAACUGCGUCUGAUACUGGAUGGCUUGAGAUUGGGAGAGGGAUGCGGAAUUCCAGGUGUAGCGGUGAAAUGCGUAGAUAUCUGGAGGAACACCGGUGGCGAAGGCGGCAUCCUGGACCAUGACUGACGCUGAGGAGCGAAAGCCAGGGGAGCAAACGGG